Molecule: non-coding RNA, 2607 nt
Organism: Triticum urartu
Lineage: Eukaryota; Viridiplantae; Streptophyta; Magnoliopsida; Poales; Poaceae
Source: RefSeq, a predicted model, not a curated record
UUCCCCUCUCUACCUCUAGAUCCAAAUCGAUGUUUUUCUAUAUGCAUUUAGCCUCCACUGAAUCUUUGAGUUCCAGUUUCAUUCGCUUGUACAUAUUACAAUUGGUUUGUGUCAAUGCAACCUUAGUACAGAUACCAUCGUUCCCAGAGAAUCCAAAUUUCAGUUAGUUCAUGUCAGUGUGGCCUUAUCAGCAUGAUUCGACCAUGAAUCCAUGAUAUUAUCUAGUGCAGCCAAUGGGUUACUCGUGGUACCGAUUACUCUUAUGAAAUGGACAGUGCCACGUGCAAAUGAACUGAAACAUUUUAUUUUAUUUUGUGGGUACUUUGAGUCUUGACCAUCCCAGGUCUGAACCCUGCAACACAACACAACACUAGUAUAGUGCAUGCAUCCUAUUAAUGCGGAAGGUUUCAUAUAUAGAUUGAUAAUCCAUGUGACUUUGACUGAAUUGUUGAGUCAGUAUAUACUUGAUCGUCUCCGUCUGGCGCCCACACUCCCUCACACUACGCGUCUUCAUCCACUGGGAUGGACACGCGCUACGCAUUUUACGUAGUAUACAUCUAUGGUGAGACAGUCAGUAACCGUGGCUGAGUCAUCGAUACUCACCUAGCAGCCACUUGUUGGCCACUUGAUUCAGAGUUUCAGACCAUAUAACCACGCUUUAGAAGGCUGUAUUUGGUAAUCACCCAAAAUGCCUCUCGUUUUUAGCUGAUGAAUCGUCCUACAUGCAUAGUUUGCUUGAUGUCCAUGUUUAUCUAGAUUCCAGAAUGUUUGAUUGCAACAUUCUAUUGAAGAUAGAAGUAUAGGACCAGCGUACAUGAUCUGGAACCUUUUGGUUUCGAUCAGUUGCUGCUGCUGAUUUAAUGCCUAUGCUCACACUGCUAUUGAUUAAAUGCUUAUGUUGUUGCUGCAUGCUUAUGCUAUUGAUUCAAUGCUUAGGAAUUGAUUGAAUUGAACCUGUUGUAAUCCUUCCUGUUCUACUUGUAUUUAUUUUUUGGGUUUCUAUUUGAUUUUUUACUCUGUUAUAUACGGUUCAUCUUCAGUUUCUUCUGUACCUUGCUUGGAGCUUAGAAUACACAGCCCAACUAGUCUCAUAUACAACUAAGGCCCUGUUUGGUUCAGCUUUUAUCGAUGGAUUCCGCUGCCGCGCAGCAGAAUCUGAACCAAAGGGCGAACCCAGCAGAAUCCGAUUCCAGAAAUCCGCUGUCAAAAUCUGAACCAAAAGCGGAAGCAGCCCAGGACGUGCUUUCCAAAAUAUGAUUCCGCUGCGGGCCAAAAUCUGAAAAAGUUGUAUAAGCUAUUUUGCCAAAUGACCUACAUCUUUUUCACAUCAGAUUUUCCACAGCUGUUUUUCCACAUCAGAUUUUUCACAGCUGCUUUUAGAAAUCCACAGCCGAACCAAACAGGGCCUAAGACCAAUGAUUCAUGCUGAAUUCUGUAUAUAUAUGUAUGUGUUGGAUUGGAGAACCACUCGAGGAGGGAGGGAGGAAGCACGGAAGGUCACCAUGGUCCUCGCCCAACUCCCACCCAUCUUCCUGCCUGCAGCUGUAGGCCAAAUAAAGGAUGUUGUUCUCGGUGGAGUUGCGCUUGAGGAUGAGCAGAGAGAGAAAUUUAAUCAAAUCCAAUAGCUUCACUCGUGUCUGCCACUGCUCAUUGUCGUGUUGACAGAGCAUUCACCCGAUGGCGGAAUACCAUGCCGCAGCGUGGGCAGUUGACGGUUGUGCUAUAUAGUGACAAACCCGAAAACCAUGACUUCGAUCUGCUGAGGAAGUUUGUGUUUCCUGACGGAUCAAUCCUGUGAGCCAAACUGCCCGGGAGACAAACUACACUACCGUUGUCGCGGAAAUUCCGUGCGAUGGAAGUUUCUAGACCCUGCUGGUACUUCCUAGCCAGAAGCCCCACGAGCUCGACGUCCAGCCCUACAACCACCACCCCACGCACAAGCAGGUGCUCUGCUCUUGCUCACAUCUAGCACCAUCUCCGGCGCGGUGGUGCUUCUUGAGGCGACCGGUGUGACGGCGGCGACCACAAGCUCUCCGGUGAGUCAGCUCCAGCUUCUAGCCCUAGCUCCCUAUUUUCUGCUCCUAUAGCAUGCUCUGUUGGUUUAGAACACUAGCAGCAGUAGCCUAUCAUGUAUACGUACUAAACAGCAGGAGCUCAAUCACCUUGUGUACACUAGCAGCUUGCUUACACACUUGUCACUUUUGCUUGUGGUAGCCAUUACUUAGCUGAAUCAUGUCCGUGUCUACUAAUCAUCAGUUCAUAGUAUUUGGCUUCUGUGUGAUGGUCUGCGACUAUUUUAUGGUGAUGUGGAUAUACUUUCUGAUUUAAAGUUACUAAUAUUUUUUGUUUUGAUUCUUUCUCUGGUGUGAGGAAAGCUGUGAGUAGACGUAAACAAUGCCUACUUGCUUGGCUGCUAUAGUGAUGCAUGCGCCGAUCAAGCAAGCACACAUGCAUAUACGUACAUGUUAGGAUAGUAGCAUAUGUGCCAUAAUUCCCGUGUAAGGAAAUGUAUUCCUGAGAUGAUUUUGUUAUGCUAUCUAAACCUAGGAGAUGUGUUAUGUGAUGUGAUAUGAUGGAUGAUUUGAUUUCGACAUUGAGUUUUCCUGA